RNAcentral lists this long non-coding RNA (27260 nucleotides) under Linum usitatissimum (flax). Its description in RNAcentral is "long non-coding RNA (LUSI_LNC006778)". The record is from RNAcentral. Lineage: Eukaryota; Viridiplantae; Streptophyta; Magnoliopsida; Malpighiales; Linaceae.
GGAGUGGAAGUGAAGAUGAAAGUGAAUCAUGUGAUGAUGAAGAACAUGCACUCAUGGCUGUAGCCGAGGAGAUAACUGCUGAUCCCUCAGAAAUCAAAGUCAUAGUAGAAGAAAAAAUUGAGGUAUCUCCGAACAACUUUAGCUUAGACGAAAAAUCUGAGUGCUCCUUUAAUAAUUCCGACCUAGCCAGCUUCUCUGAGAAUGAAGAAGAAUUGUUUGAGACUAUAGAAGAGAUAACCUCUGAAUUUCCUGAGUUUAGGAUGAAAUACGCAGAACUAAAAAGAAAAUUGAUUGUUGAAACUGAGAAGGUGGAAAAUCUUGAAGGAAAUUUAACACAAGUCAAACAGAACAUAGUGAAUGUCAAAACUAAUCUUAGGAAUAUUCUUCGGCAAAAUGGAGUAUUAAAGGGAGAAUUAAGAAGAUGGCCUUAUUAUCGUCAUAAUUAUUUUUUACCUAGAUAUAUAGAGCUAAGACCAUUUUGUCAAACUGUUGCAGACUACAAUUUAUGGUGUAAUGCGUGUCAAACAACUAAUUAUUCUAUGGCUGAUUGUAUGUUCCGUGCUCAUAAAAACUCAGCAUCCAAGGUAGUCUGGAUGCGAAAAACCAAAUGACUAUUGGUGUUGCAUGUCUGCUAUCUUGUUAAUGAAGGAAGUCACAAAUGGGUGUUGGAUAGUGGCUGCUCUCAUCACAUGACCGGAAACGCUUCUCUUUUUUGUGAGUUAAUAUAAAAAAGGGGAAAUGUUAGUUUCGGUGAUAACAGGUCCUGCAAAAUCUUAGGAGUAGGAAAAGUAGGUAGUGGCAAUAUUAUUUUUCUUAAAGAGGUUUUUCUUGUAGAAGGGCUUAAGUACAACUUGCUGUCAAUUAGUCAAAUUUGUGGAGAGAAUCACAAGGUCAUAUUUGAGUCUAAUACCUACAGGGUUGAGAAUCUAAAAAUGGAAUAAUUCUAUUUAAGGGGUAUAAUGAUGUCACCACUUCUUGAAUUCUAGAACUACUGCAUCUUGAUAUGGUUGGUCCCUCAAACUAUAUGUCCAUAAGAGGAAAUACUAUGGAUUUGGUCUAGUUGAUGAUUUCUCUAGGUUCUCCUGGGUCUACUUUAGUUCCUCUAAAAAUGCAAACUNUUCCUCUAAAAAUGAAACCUUCCACAAAUUUAAAGUGUUUGUGUCCACUGUUCAGAAUGAGAAACAGUUAAAAAUCAUCAAAAUCCGUUGUGACAAUGGUGGAGAAUUUGUUAAUCAAGAGUUCAGUGAUCUGUGCGAGUCUCUAGGAGUUGAACAUAACUUUUCAGCCCCAAGAACUCCGCAUCAAAAUGGAGUAGUUGAACGUAAAAAUAGAACGCUAAUAGAGAUUGCUAGAACUAUGCUUCACGACUUUGCUCUUAGCUCAAAAUUCUGGGCAGAAGCAGUUAAUACGGCCUACUAUGUUACAAACAGAGCCUUGAUUCGUUCAAAGUUUAACAAGACUCCCUAUGAACUUUGGAAAAAUAAAAAUACUAGCAUAGGGUAUUUCAAACCUUUUGGGUGUAAGUGCUUCAUUCUCAAUACCAAAGAUGACUUAGGAAAAUUUGAUGCUAAAUUAGAUGAAGGGAUCUUUCUAGGAUAUUCUAGCAAUAGUCGAGCGUACAGGGUCUUUAAUAAACGAUCCAACAAGGUUGAAGAAUCAUUAAAUGUAAUUUUUCAUGAAAACUCUAAUCUUAAUGAUGAGCUGCAGGGUUCAAAUAAUUACUUACUAGAGCUGUCCGACACUAAUCUCCCUUUCAGUCAUCAGUUACAGCCUAAUUUGGCUGAAAUGGAUAAAGAACUACCAGUGGAGGUGGGAGGAUCUCAGAAAGAUAAUCCAUCAGGUAACCUAGACAACAGGACUCCCACUCCAGAAACAGAAACAUCAUCUUCUCAAUCAGCUAUGGAUGAUCAGAAUCAAGCUCCCCAACAUAUCCAAAAACUACAUCCUUCCAUGCAAGUAAUAGGAAACUUCAAUGAUCGAUUAAUUACACGCUGAAGAAGUUCUCAUUCUGCAUUUGUUUCAACCUUAGAACCAAAAAAUGUCAAAGAAACCUUAUUAGAUGAUGAUUGGAAUUUAGCAAUGAAUGAAGAGAUGGUUCAAUUUGACACGCUGCGGGUCUGGAACCUUAUAGCUAUCCCGCAAAUAGAACUAUUCCAGGUACUAAAUGGGUGUUUAGAAAUAAAACGAAUGAUAAGGGAAUCGUAAUUAAAAAUAAGUCCAGAUUAGUUGGCCAAGGUUACGAUCAAGAAGAGGGUAUAGACUUUGAUGAGACGUUUGCUCCAGUAGCCAGACUAGAAACUAUUCAUCUUUUAUGUGCUUUUGCCAGUAUUAAUCAUUUCAAGCUCUAUCAAAUGGAUGUGAAGAGUGCUUUUUUGAAUGGUGAUUUAAAAGAAGAAGUCUAUGUAUCUCAACCCCCUGGUUUUGAAAAUCAUGCAUUUCCUCAUCAUGUCUAUAAACUGAAUAAAGCUAUAUGGAUUGAAACAGGCUCCUAGAGCCUAGUAUGACAGAUUAAGUUCCUUUCUCAUUUCUCAUGGGUUUACCAGAGGAUCUGUGGAUAGCACUCUUUUUACAAAAAUAAUAAAAUCUUCCUUUCUCCUUGUCCAAGUUUAUGUGGAUGAUACCAUCUUUGAAUCAUCUAAUGAAAGUCUUAGUAUAGACUUUAGUAAAACAAUACAGGAUGCAUUUGAAAUGAGUUUAAUUGGAGAACUUUCUUCCUUUCUAGGCUUGCAAAUCAAGCAAGCAGCUUGCAAAUGAAGCAAACUAAGUCUGAUAUGUUUCUAAGUCAGUCUAAAUACUAUAAGAAUAUGCUAACCAUAUUUGGUUACAAUUCAAUAAAAAACUGUGCUACACCAAUGUCCACCUCUGUUAAAAUACAUAAUGAUGCUCCUGGGAAACCUGUUAAUGAGAAAUUAUAUCGAGGAAUGAUUGGCUCUCUUCUCUAUCUUACUGAUAGUAGGCCUGACAUCGCAUAUAGUGUAGGUAUUUGUCCACGUUUUCAAAGGAAACCUCAUUAUAUUCAUAUAAAGGCUGUAAAACAUAUCUUUUGAUAUAUUGUUGGAACUCUUAACUUGGGAUUAUGGUAUCCAGCUGAAGGAUCCACUAAUCUCAUAGGCUUCUUUGACUCUGAUUUUGCUGGCAACAUGAUUGAUCGAAAAAGCACAUAUGGUACAUGUCAAUUUCUUGGUAGCUCUCUUAUUUCGUGGUUUAGUAAAAAACAAAGCUUUGUUGCCUUGUCUACUACAGAAGCGGAGUAUAUUGCGGCUGGUAGCUGUUGUACUCAAAUUUUGUGGUUGAAAGCACAACUUCGUGAUUUUGGUAUAAGUCUGUCUACUGUUCCCUUACUAUAUGAUAAUACUAGUGCCAUCAAUAUGACAAAAAAUCAUGUUUAUCAUUCUAUAACUAAGCAUAUCUAUGUUCGACAUCACUUUAUUAGGGAACUUGUAACAAAUAAGGAAAUUGAACUUGAUUUUAUUCCCACUGAAUCCCAAUUGGCUGAUAUCUUUACUAAACCCUUAUCUAUUGAUCAGUUUCUCUUUCUUCGUAAGUCCUUAGGAAUUAUCUCUCUCACUGAUGUGGCCGAUAUUGAGGUACGCUCCUGAUUAGAAGUUUUAAUAAUUUGACUUUUGCGCUUCCAGUUUUAUCUAUUUACUUAUUUAUGUUUUUCCUUUUCUAUUUUCUUUCCCUUUUACUAGGUUUUUUUCUUUUAGUUUAUGCCCUGUUUACACUUUUCCUACCUUCUGUGUGUCUGUGAAAUCCUUGUGGUAAUAGGCAAGAUUCACAGCUUCUUCUAUUUAUAGAUCUUGUCUGUCACUCUGAUUUAUUAUUCUACUUUCAGCCCUCUAUCAUGAAUUCUUAUAAUCAUAUGCUAGCCUCUCUUGCUCGUAGUAAUGUCUUCUUCAUCAAUGAUCACAUGCGCAGUUGUGAGCAUCAAGCCAUCUAUCUUGAAUCCUCUAUUGAUCGUCUUGUUCUUCCAACUAUUCAUAUUGAUCAAACUGCCUUUGAUCGAUACGGCCUCAAUCCUUCUGCUCUCAUUGGCACUCUAGGAUGGAGUUCUCUCGCUCUCAAUCAGUGCCAUCAUUUUUUUCCUAUUGCACUUCGUCAGUUCUAUGCUAAUCUGCAGCUGGAAGGCUCUCUUCAAGAUGGAAGAUUCAACACCAUUGUUGCUGGAUAUUGUAUUGUUGUAACUCCUCGUCUUCUCUCAAAUGUUCUAGGCAUUCUGUCCGGGGGGUAUGGCGGUUUUCGACGAAUCAGACUUGUGCAAAAUUCCCUUUGACGCACCGGUGGUUCUUGGUCAUUGGACCAAUGCUCCUCCAACAACUCGGCCUCUCUCUAUUAUUCCCAUGCUUCCUGAUUAUCUCAAAGUUCUGCAAUGUUUUAUUUCUAGGGUUUUUCUUCUUCGCUCAGCAGGAAAAUUUCUAGUCACCAGCCUGGAUACCUGGAUCAUGCACUGUGCUAUCUUCAACUUUCAAACUGACUUCAGCUGAUUGAUGUUUGGAACCAUGAUUUUCUAUGGAAAUCGAGCCUUUCCUGGUGACCUUCUGUUUUGUCAUGUGAUCUCUUAUCUUAUCUAUGCUCUUGGUGUUCCAGUUCAUGGCAGUCUCCUGCUUGAAUCUCCUCUGCAUAAUCCUUGCCCUAGUCAUGUGCUCCGAGAGGUCGGAUGGGGUCACCUAAAGCCUACCUCUAGCUCAGGGGGAGAAGCUCUUCAUGAUCUCAACUUCUCUGAUGAUGAGGUGGAUGAUCUUGCUGCCGAGAUGGAAAGGAAUUUGGAGAUCCAUGAAGGACUUGACGUUGUUGCUGCUGACGACUUUUCUUCUUUGUCUAGUCAUUCUCUGAAUAGUGCUAUGUAGCUCUUGUUCUAGGAUUUGCGUUGUUUUGUCAUUUGUUCUUCCGCUUGGCUAGUUCAGUUAUGCUAUGUCUUUUGUUCUUAGUUUCAGUUGAUGUGUCUCGAGUAUGUUCUUUUCAUCGGCUAGGUUCGGUUCUUAGUUAUGUUAAGUUGCUUUCUUUUGAUUUGUCAAAGAACAACUAGCUUAGUUAAUAUUUUAAUAAAAGUGUGCUCACUCAGUAAGAGGUGUUUCCGAUCGUUAGUUGUUACCCAGAGACAUACAUAUAUAGUUAUCAUUCUACAGGUCUUUGAGAACGAUGACGUUCAGUGCAGGGCAAGCAUCUCGGUGCCAGAAAUGAGCCAUCCUCAGGCUUAGGGGGAGCUUGUUGACAUGGAUCAAGCCUUACUGAUAGGCUCUAGUAUUGCGCUCAUAUUUGCUUAAUGUGUUGCAGGUUCUUCGGCCCACAUAGAGUUGAAAAAGCCCGGUCCAAGCUGGCAUUCAGGAUUUGGCUAAGAGCUGUUGACGCGUGCUGCUCUUCAACCCUAAAAUCAUCACUGGAGCCAGCUGCCGCUACCGACUUGAGUAAUCAGAGAAAGUGUCUCUACUGAGACAAGAAACCAGGACUCAUGCAAGGAAGAAGGAAGCUUCGCCACUCACGUUCUUCGUCAGCAAGAGGCAGGAUCGGGCAGCAAUAAAUAGAUGCUGCAUCGACUUCUCACUCGCGCUUUCCAACGGAGAAAACACGACAAGGAUGGGUGUGCAAUCAGAAGAGAAAUUGCACAAUUGGAGCCGGAGCAUCGACACUAGUCACUGCAAUCGAGUUACGCUCGAUGCUAUGAGGAUAGCUGGAGCUUAACGGAAUAGAUCGUGAACUACGUGUCGGAGUCUCGAGGUGUUAAAGGUUGCAGAGUUGCCAACUUAAUCUCAUUUCAGUUAGUAAGUGUCAUAAUGAACCUCCUUGAAUAUUAUUGAGGCUUGCAUGUUCAGUUCUUUGGCUAUACAAUUGAAGUUCUUGAUUGCUUUAAUUAUAUAUAUAUUGUCUGUGUGUCAAUCCAGCUGUAAGAUUGGCUUCUGGUUCGUUAAAUCUUAAUCCCUUGUUUCUGAUCAACUAGAUUAAGUAACUAGUCUAAACAAUGAGGAUCAUAGGACAACACACAUGUCCUCUCUUUUGAGACGAAGAGCUGAAACCCCCUAGGCGAUUAAACAAACAAGUAUUGCUCACACGACAUACUAUUUCAUUCGCUUCCAGAUGAGAGUUAACGUCUAACCUAGUUGUUUGAUUUCGGCGUUCUAAAUAUGCAAGCUCUCUUGAGUCGAAGACAAAUCUAACAAAGAUCCAUUCAAGUUGAUCAGGUGAGAACAUAAAUGAAAUCGAAAUCAAACAUAAACUGAACUUCAUCCAACUGGCAUAAAUCGUCGAACGCAGUUAAAUCAUUCGUUCAUAAGGUUAAACCUAGGGUUCAUCUAAUUUAAGCAAGAGAAAUUUAGCUGCUCAUAAUCUCGAAGGAAAAAUCAAAAUAAGAGAAGGAAGACAUUGAUUCUAGGUUUACACAAAUAAUUAUGAAAAACCAAAAUUUCGCCUGAUCUUCCCGAAGAACUUGAUUCUCUGUCUUGAUUCUUUCACCGAUUCCGAGCUCCUUGAAGUUGCCUUAAAGUUGCUCUCAAAUCUCUCAAUAUUGCUCUUAGUUUCGUCCAAGGAAGUAUGUCUUUGAAUGGAGGAGAGCCGUGCUUUAUAUAGAAAUUCCAAAAUCCUUCAAACUGCCAGAUUUGCCAGUCUUUGUGCUAUGGACCUAUCAAAGAUUGCAUUAUGGUCAUAGCGCAAUGAUUGACCAAAUAUAGCGUAAAGAGUGACCAAAUUUCCAGAAUGGACUGUCAACUAUUGCGUUAUAAAUAUGUCAAAGAUUGCGCUAUGGUCAUAGCGCCAAUGUUUGACCACUUAUAGUGCAAUGGUUGAUAUCUUCAAGCACUUGUGUUUUCUUCACUCCUCGAACCGUCCUAACUUGUCCAUGCACGUCCUAGCUUGUUCAUGCAUCGUUAUGUACCUGAAAUCUUAUAAAGACACUCCAAAACGAUAUCAAAAGGACAUCUAAUGGGUACGAGACACUCAAUCGAGAUAAAAACUAAAAAUGCACAAAACAUCCUAAACUUCUACCCAAACCUAUACACUCAUACAUAUAAUGUUGCUUAAAUGAGGAUGAUGAAUGCGGUGAAUCAUCAUCAACAAUCAAAGAAAAAAGUAUUUUCUUUUUAUUUCCUUUACACGAUUCACCAAAAUGAACACCAUCUCUAAGACCAAAAAUUCUAACUGGACUUGCAUCGAACAAUUGGAGUGUCUCCACCAACUACAUGUAAAGUUCACUAAAACUUAAUAAAUUAUCGCAUCUCCUUGAAAGCACAACAUGACGACAGUGUUUAGAGUGAAAACUCGGCUCACAAUCUCUCAAACUCAACAUCAAACCACUACCACCCUUGAACCCAUAUGCAAACCCAAAUUCACUUUAAAGUGUAACAGAAAGUCAAAGUUUGCAGUGAAGGAAGAAAUGGCCACGUACAACCAUGAGAAAAUGUAGAAGGAAACCAAAAAUUUUAAAAAUUUUAAAGGAUAAAUAUACCUCGAUUUAAAUUUGUCUUUUGAGCUAUUAGAUUUGACGUUCAAAAUGAAUAAUUCAAAUAGCUCUAUUUAUUUGUUUCUGAUUCGGGCUCAACAAUGUGCUAUAUAAAUUAAUAUUUAUAUUUCUGUGGUUGGUAAGACUAACACAGUUUAGGGGUGGAAGUUUGAAAACGGGAUUUGGGAAUUUCCGUACCAAUACCAUACUAUGACCAUACCAAAUUUUACCGACUAAGUAUAUAACUAGUUAUAUUAACAAUUUUAUAUCUAAUUAUCCAAUCAUGUAACUAGUUACAUGCAACUAUAAUUAUAAUUAAUUAUUUAUCAAGUAAUUAAUGAUAAAUAACUAGUUAUAUUACUUUUUCCUAAAAUGAAUGGUAGCUUUUUGAUGGAAGGAAGAUGGUUGAUUGUCAGAAACUAAGAGUGAACUUUACCUUUUUCAAUCUCUCGAGUCUUUAUACUUUCAUAUAGAGUUCACUUCGCAGUAGCAGUAUUUUCAGAAUUUCAGUAGGAGGGUAGCACAGUAGCAGUACUUUGCAAUCAAAUUCGAAAGAAAAAAUUAAUUUGGAGCCUCAAAUUUUGAAUUUAAAUUCUCAAUCCAAAAUUUAAAUUUCCAAAUUAAAUUUUGAAAAUUUUAAAAUCAGAAAUUUAGAAUUAGAGAUUGUACAAAUUCAAAAGUGGGAUCCCAUUUUCGUCUCGUUUGCCACCCCUAACACAGUUGAUGAUGCAAGAGGAUUCUUCAUAGUUACAACCAAGCCUCAGUUGAUGAUAAAAUACACAAGACGAGUAGAAGUUCGGCAAUUUUUUUCUUUGCAUGUGCAAUAUCAUGAAUCCUAUAGAUCUUCUUUGUUUCUCAUACUUGAGCAUAAUCCUUCUCCACUUUCUUAAAUGAGGCUUGGUUGUAGGUUACAUACGAGCCGAGUUAAUUACCGAACUUUCUUAAAUUGAGGCUGGUUGCUUUUAAUCGGAUCAUCUUGUUUUAAAUAUUUUUGUUGAACCAGAACCCUCGUCUUUAGUGAUUUUAAAAUUUUCCAAUUAAUUUUAUGGCGAUUUCGAUCUCCAUUGGUGAAAAUUUUUGCACCCACGUGAUCACCAUCGUUGACUCUGCGUUUCUGAAAAAAAAUAUCAUACAAACUUUAUACUGAAAGUUAUACGGAUCAUACAAAUAUGUAUAUGUUUAUACAAACUCUACAAAAGGAUAUACACAUUCAUAUAACUUUCAUAUAAAAUAUAAUACUACGUUUUGUACAAAUUAAAUAUCAUACAACUUAAUAUAAUACUUAAUAUUUUACAUUUGUAUGAUUGUGGAAUAUUAUUUAAAACUUCGUAUAUUUAACCGUUAGAUUAAAACACAAUCUUUAUAAAUCCGAUCCAGAAGCCAUUUCUCGAUUUGAGCUCCUUGGUUAUAUACAUUGGAAAAAGAUUAGAUAUAUAUAAUAAUAGCGAAACUUGUAUGAAGACACGCACCGUCUAACUCAAAGUAAUAUAAUUGUUGUCGACUUGCUGGGUGUUGGGUGGUGUCAAAGGCUGACCAAACACGUACGUAGGUUUGGCUAAUUGACCAAUCAAUCAAUAAAUGCAACUACGUACUCUGACUCUAGAGGCAAGUUUAAUUUUCACAUGAAACAAACCUUUGCAUACAUUUCACGUAUUGACCAGCUACACUCUGUACUAGAUCUGUAUGAAUCAUGGUCGUCUUAUGGUUGUAGCAAAUGCCAUGAGAAACUAUGGAGAACCUAUGUCUGAUGUGAAGAUUGUGGAAACGAUAUUAAGGACUCAAUGUUGUUUGUUCAAUUGAGGAAUCAAAGGACAUAAAUGAACUCUCAGUGGAUGCUCUGCAGAGUUCCUUACUCGUUCAGGAGUAGAAGUUUAUAAGAAACCAGUAGCUGAGGAAGAUCAAGUACUCAAAGCCAGUUAUAACUUUGGAGGUCGAAGCAGUAGAGGAAGGGGACAGUUUUUAGAAGAGGAAGAGGUAGAGGUGGAAUAGGUUGGAGUAAAGAACGAGUUGAGUGUUGCAGUUGUCACAAGCUUGGCCAUUAUCAAUAUGCAUGCAUUAUGGGAUAUAAUCACCAAGCUCAGUUUUCUGAAGCACUAGACAUGAAGGAGAAUGUUCUAUUAAUGGCUUAUGCUGAAGUGGAAGAAACGAUACUUAUAGGGAGUACUGAUAUGAAUAUGAUGACCAUUCUGAGGUCAAAAUCAAUUGAUGCUCAUGAAGGAUGGUAGUUUCUUAAGUUUGAAUGCAACAACCACAUGACAGUAAACAAGGAUUGGUUUAGUGCUAUUGAUGCUUCUGGAGUUGGCAGUGUUAAGCUUGGCAAUGGAACAAAACUUUCAGUAAAAUAAAGAAAAAGGCUCUAUAAAGCUGGUUACAGAAUCUCAAAGUCUAGUCAUUCAGGAUGCCUUUUAUGUACCAGGUUGAAUCUCCCUAGUCUAGGACAAUUGCAACAGAAGGGUUCGGAGUUCAUGUUCAAGAAGAACACUUGCAUGAAAACAAAUUGUAUGUUUGUUCUUCAUUGUGAUUCUCCGGUGAAAAGAGGAAGUGUAGAGUGUCUUCAAGCCACUCAUAGCCAACUAGCUGCCCUAACCCUCUAGCAUAGGAGGUUUUCUCAUCUCAGUUAUCAACGACUUAUGAAUCAGUAUAAACCCUUUCCUAUGCUGCAAGGGACUCCUGACUUAUGUUUGACUUGUCUCAUUGGCAAAAAACACAAGAAACCCUUUCCUAAAAAGAGUGCAUGGUGAACAAAUAGCAAGCUUCAACUUAUUCAUGCUGAUUUGUGUGGGCUUAUUACUCCAAUUUCGAAUGGAGGCAAGAGGUAUAUCUUCACUUUAAUUGAUGAUUGUAUUGGGGCGCUAGAGGAAAUGUAGUGAAUUUAGGAUCGAAAAAAUAGUAUUUUGAUAACUCACUCAAUUGAUCACUCAAUUUUGUAAAUAUUACAAUUUGGUCACUUGGACCUUUACUCUCACCACUCACAAAUGCCUCUCUACUUCUUCUUUCUUAUUUCUUCCACUCAUACUUGCCUAAAGUGAGGCUUCAUAUUUAUAGGCUAAUACAACCUCCUUAGGAAGAUACUAGCACACUUGGUAGGUUUAGUGUGUGGCUAGAAUUAGUUUAGUUAUUAAAACAUAUUAAUUAGUUUAGUUGAGUAGUUGAGAUAUUUUUAGGGAGACUUCUAGAGUAGGAAAUCUCUAGAUUGUUAAAGGUAAUUCCAUAUUGCAAAUUACCUUUAUUCAACAGAUUGUAGUAGGAAGUUAUGCAUUUAUUUUCUUGUUCAUAAAUCUGAAGCAUUGACUAUAUUCAAGAACUAUAAAACUGAAGUUAAGAAGGAGUCAAGAAAUGAGAUAGGUUGUUUAAGAACUAAUAGAGGAUUCUCUUCGCUGCUGCAAAAUGAAGUUUGCUAGGCUCACUCAUAAAUCUUAAAAUGAGACUUACUGAGUGACAUAUAUCUGGUCUUGUGUGUGUCAGAUAUAUGAGCGAUCCGACUAGGCUUCUGUAUAUUUUCCCGUCAACUUUUUCUGCUCCAUCAUCUUGUUGCAAUUUCUCGUUCAACGCCAUUGGUGUUGUUAUGGGCUUGCACGAUGCCACGUGAAAUCUCUUUAACAUGUCUUCAGUAUACUUCUCUUGAGAGAUGAAUAUUUCUCCAGGUUUCUGCUGUACUUGAAUUCCCAGGAACUACUUCAUGAGUCCUAAGUCUGUCAUCUCGAACUCUGACAUUAUUGCCCUUUUCAUUUCUUCAAUCAUUUGUAGACUUGUGAAUGUAUAGAUUAAGUUAUCAACAUAUAAGCACAAAAUGAGAAAGUUUCUGUUUUCUCCCUUUUUGAUGUAGAGAGAUGCUUCACUUGGACUUCUUUGAAAUCCGUUGUCGUGAAAGUAUCGAUCAAUUAUGCUGUUCCAUGCUCGAGGUGCUUGUUUGAGUCCGUAGAGCGCCUUCUUGAGUCGAUAGACUUUGUCUUCUUCUCCUUUCUUCCCAUAUCCUCGUGGUUGUUCCACAUAGACUUCUUCUUCUAGUGUUCCAUUGAGGAAUGCUGACUUACCGUCUAGCUGGAAUAUUGGUAACUCUAUUUGAGCUGCUAGUGCUAUGACUGUUCUUAUUGUCUCCAUUCGCGCUACUGGUGCGUAGGUUUCGUGAAAGUCGAUGCCAGGCUGUUGUGAAUAGCCUUUUUCUACCAAUCUCGCUUUGUGCUUCUGGAUGGAACCGUCUUCAUUAAAUUUGGUCUUGUAUAUCCAUUUUAGACCUAUGACCGGUUUGUCUUUUGGUUUGUCCACGAGCUCCCAAGUCUUGUUCUUCUCGAUCAUUGUGAUCUCCGUGUCCAUUGCUUCUGUCCAGUCUUUGUCUUUUGCUGCUUCUUCAAAUGUCUGGGGUUCACAAGAAAAAUAUGCUACGUGACUUGAUUCAUAAAUUUCUCUUAAGGAUCUGACCUUUAAUGGAGGUGAGUCUGAAUAUGUCACGACAUCUCUGAAGUUAUCUCUCGUUGGACUUGUUAGACUUCUUCCUUGACAUGGAUUUUGAUCCGCCUCAUUUGGUGUUGUUGGUGUAGUUGUUGGAUUCUCUAGGAUCUCAUUUGUUAAUGGAGAUUGAGUAUCCUGAGUUUCCCAACUCCGCUCGAUCAUUUCGUCGAAGCUUCUGCCCAUAGUUGGUUGGGAAUUUUCUUAGUAGUCAUCAUGCUUCUUGAUAUAUCCACAAUUGUACGGUUCUUUCGUUCUGCUACGCCAUUUUGCUGUGGUGUGUAUCGCACUGUCAACUGUCUCUUGAUUCUCUUGGUGCGACAGUACUCCAUGAAAGGUUUGUAGAUGAACUCUCUACCACGAUCUGUUCGGAGUGUCUUGAUUUGAAGUCCGCUUUCCUUCUCAGUUGCUGCUUUGAAUUGAAGGAACUUGGAGAAAACUUCUGACUUUUGUUCGAGAAAGAAUACCCACAUCAUUCUAGUAUAAUCAUCCACAAAUAGUAGAAAAUAUCUCUUACCACCUAUGGAUUUUGUUCUAGUUGGUCCGCAAAUAUCAGCGUGUACCAACUCUAGUGGUGUUUUUGCUCUCCAAGUAGUUUUUGGAAAUGGCAGGCGAUGCAUUUUGCCAUAUAUACAUCCUUCACAGACCUUGUCUUCUCUGUUGAUUUGGGGAAGACCUCCUACCAUAUUUUUAUGCUUCAACUGUUUGAGGCCUUUGUAGUUUAGGUGUCCAUAUCGAAUAUGCCAUAGAAAAGGUUCAUCCAUACUUUGGCUCUUCAUUGCUAAUUCUUCAUUCCUCGACAUUGUGAGAGGAAACAUCCUAUUGGAAGGCAUACAAAUUUUCGCCACCAUUGGAAUUUUUGCCAGCUUUGAGUUGUUGGAUUUGUUGAUAAUCUCACAUUCUCCGUUAUCAAACAAUAGCUUGUAAUUUUUAAGCAUUAGUUGUCCAACACUUAGAAGAUUUUGAGCUAAUUCAGGAACGUACAAAACUUCUUGGAUUAGAGUUUUGUUACCUCCCUUUCCUUGUAUGAUGAUUGUACCCUUUCCUUCAACUUCCAGCUUUUUACCGUCUCCAAUCUUCACGUGGGACUUAUAUGUAUCAUCCAUCUCGGUGAAGGACUCCCGAUCUCCAGUCAUGUGAUUACUGCAACCGCUGUCCACCACCCAUGGAAGUUGAGAUUUUUGCUCAGCUUUGAAGCAACUGUAUGCGACCAGUUUUUCUUCGUCCUGUUGUGCGAAGCUUGAUUCGCCUUCUUCUUUCUUGUUUUGGAACCAGAAAUCUCGUUAAGAGUGAUUUUGAAUUUUGCACUUGGUGCAUCUGAACCUGCAUUCUUUGGUAGCAUGGUUAGAUUUUUUGCAAAUUUUGCAUCCGUCGUUGGAGUUGUUUGGUUUCUCUUGAUUCUGGCUCCAGUUGCUGCUUUUCUUAAAAUUCGGUUUUCCUCCUUUCUUUUAGAAGUUGCCCCCUCUGUGGUUCGGCUUUCCUUUGAUGUCGACCUUGGAUUGAAAAGGUUGUUUGAGUUGUUGGUUAGUAAACCGACUCAAUCUCUACUUGUGAGCUACAAGUGAUCCCAUAAGCUCCGUCAUGGGUAAUUUUCCAAGAUUUUUGGUUUCUUCUAUGACAGCGACGACGUAUUCAAUCUUCGGUGUUAGACUGCGGAGGAUCCUCUCCACGAUCUUCUUCUCGUCGAUAGUCUCUCCAGUGACUUUGAUCUGGUUCACUAUCUCUGCAACACGAGAAUGAAAGUCUUUGAUGCUUUCGCCUUCUUUCAUCGCCAGGUUGUCAAAUUGACGCCAUAGAUUUUGGCGUUUUAUGGAGAUUGCCUUCUCGGAACCUUGAAAUUCGUUCUUCAGGACUUCCCAAGCUUCCUUGGCUUAUUUGAUGCCAAAAAUUCUCUGAAAUAUUGUUUUGCUCACAGCUUGCUGAAUUAUCCUCAAUGCGCUGGCGUUCCUCUUCACAUUCUCCUUAUGUUCCUUCAUCUUCGUCCCGCUUGUUUUGGGAUGGUCAUCUUUUGUCGAUUACACCUUUUUUCGGUUGAUGUGGAAUCAUUCUCUUGUGGUGAUUGUUCGAUGCCUUCUUGAACAAUAUCCCACAAGUCUUGCGAAAUGAUGAUAGUCUCCAUUUGUGCUUUCUAGUAUUCAUACAAUUCUCCAUCAAAAAUUGGGAUUUGAUUUGGAGAGUUGGCGAACAUGGAACUUGACGAUGGUGCUGCCAUUGGAUUUUGAGGGGAUUUUUUUUGGUAGAGUUUUUGAGAGGGUUUUGUGAGGGUAGGUUAUAAUAUGGUUAUCAAAGUACUAAAGUGUAACUUUUCUGAUGUGGAAGAUCAGUUAUUAAAACCNNNNNNNNNNNNNNNNNNNNNNNNNNUUUUAUAAAUAUUACAAUUUGGUCACUUGGACCUUUACUCUCACCACUCACAAAUGCCUCUCUACUUCUUCUUUCUUAUUUCUUCCACUCAUACUUGCCUAAAGUGAGGCUUCAUAUUUAUAGGCUAAUACAACCUCCUUAGGAAGAUACUAGCACACUUUGUAGGUUUAGUGUGUGGCUAGAAUUAGUUUAGUUAUUAAAACAUAUUAAUAAGUUUAGUUGAGUAGUUGAGAUAUUUUUAGGGAGAUUUCUAGAGUAAGAAAUCACUAGAUUGUUAAAGGUAAUUGCAUAUUGCAAAUUACCUUUAUUCAACAGAUUGUAGUAGGAAGUUAUGCAUUUAUUUUCUUGUUCAUAAAUCUGAAGCAUUGACUAUAUUCAAGAACUAUAAAACUGAAGUUAAGAAGGAGUCAAGAAAUGAGAUAGGUUGUUUAAGAACUAAUAGAGGGGGAGAAUUCAUUCAAAAUGAAGUCAAGCAGUUAUGUGUAGAAACUGGAAUUAGAAAAUAGCUUACUGCUUCUCUGACUCCACAGCAGAACAGAGUGGCUGAGAGGAAGAACAGAACCAUCAUGAAUAUGGUUCGCUGCAUGAUUGCAGAUACAAAGGUUCCAGCUGAGUUUUGGCCAGAAGCAGUUUUCUAGAAUACUCAUCUACUUAACAUGAGUCUUACAACUGCUCUCUUCAAAACAAAAAUCCUCAGGAAAUUUGGACAGGAAAACCUCCUAACCUGAGAGUUUUUGGCUGCAUUACUUAUUUGUACAUACCAGAUCAACAUAGAAACAAGUUUGACAACAAGAGCUUUCUUUAUGUCUUUCUUGGAAUCUCAGUUAAUCUGGCAUGAUUCUAAUCUUGAUGAUGUUGAAGAUAGCUCUAUAGAAAAUCCUUCAGUUACACCAUCUGAAGCAGAUAUAGACGAAGAAGAAGAAGAAGCUAAUCCUCCAUCUGAUACUGAGGAAGGUACCAUAGCUACAGUAACCCCUACCGGCUUGGGACCUAGAAAUAGAAGGCUUCCAGCUCCUCUUGAUAUCUAUGAUCUCAUCUCUAAUCUUUCAAAGUGGUGCGCCAUGGUGGCUAUUUCUGAUGACCCUCUCACGUUUGAAGAGGCGGCUCAAGAUGAGAAAUGGAAAACUACCAUGAAACAGGAACUGCUUGCUUUUAAAAAAAUGACACUUGGUUUCUUACCAACUUGCCUACUUGAAUUCAAACUAUUCGGCUCAAAUGGGUUUUCAAAACCAAGAUUAAGGAGGAUGGCUCAGUAUAUUAAUACAAAGCGAAGCUGGUGGCUAAGAGAUACUCUCAACAAUAUGACAUUAAUUAUACAGAAGUAUUUGCUCCUACCAUUUGCAUUUUUUUGGCACUUGUAACAUCUCAUGGCUUGACAAUCUAUCAACUUGAUGUUAAAAGUCUUUUUACAUGGAAAGUUGAUUAAGGAUGUCUAUAUUGAGCAACCAAUAAAUUUUAUGGUCCUUAGGAAGGAAAUAAAAUUAUACUUAAAAAAGCAUUAUAUGAAUUAAAAACAGGCACCUAGAGCCUGAUACAACAUAAUUAAAGGCUACUUUGUUACAGAUAGAUUUGAAAGGUGUCCUUAUCAACAUACUUUGUUUAAGAAGCUUGGAUCAAGUAUACAGUUGGUCAGCCUGUAGUGGAUGAUGUAAUGUAUGCUAACAAUGAUUCGAGUAUAAUUAAGGAGUUCAAAGAAUUUAUGUAGGCUGAGUUUGAAAUGACAGAUUUAGGGAGGAUGAGAUAUUUUCUUGGCAUUGACGUUAUGCAAAGUGAUUGUGACACCCUGAUUUUGGAUAGAUUGUUGGUUUUUUAUUUUCAUUGAAUUAUGGAAUUCCAAAAAUCCGCUGAUGAGUGGACAGUCAUGGGAGUGACCGUCAGUCUAUCACGGGCGUGGUUGCCAGAUAGACCAAGGUUAUGGUCAGUAGUCUGUCACAAACAUGGCCAUCAAUAGCUCAUGGACGUGGUUGUCAUGCAAUCACUAACGUUGUGGUAAGUCGAGCCACAGGCGUGGUGGACUUAUUAUAAAACCAAAGUCGCGACCUGCAACUCAAAAUUUACCAAAACCCAAACUUAAAAAUUCCUCUAACAAACAACGAUUACUUUUAGGAGGUGUAGAAGGCAUAGUUAAUCAAACACAUAUCAAUAACAAAGGUUUAGAGAUUGUUGAGGAAGUUUUAGAAGGUAAUCAAUAUUCUUCCUCCUCUCUCAAUCCUUUGAUUGAAAACCUACGUAGGAAAAAUCGUAACAGUUAAGAAUUUGGGGAUUUGGGAUUUUAAUUCUAUGAUUGAUCUCUACAGGUCGGACAAAACGGAAGACUUGAACUCUGGGAAGGCAGUUUUAGAUCAGACUCUUCUAUGAAAGCAUAUUAGAGGCAGAGGUUAGGAUUACUUUUCUGCUUUAACUAUAGAACUGUAAUAGGUUGUUAGGAAUCUAAUGAUCAGAUUCUCAUGACUGUACAGUAACGUGUUAUCUACUGUAUAGGUGUUGUGAUUUAGAGUAGGGCUCUCAGGACUGUACAGUAGAGUGUGAUUUACUAUAUAGGUGUUGUGAUUCAAAGUGGGGCUCUCAUGUUGUACAGUAUCGUGUGAUCUACUGUACAAACAGUUAUAUUAAUUCAAGCAUAAUCUCUUGGCGGUUGAUUUGUGGUGUGUGAUUCACAGUUCAUGUUAGGACAGGAUUAUGCGUUGGUCACCUACCCAUGAAUUGCGCAAUCCCCUAAGCUAUAAUCAGGCUUUAGCAGGACGUGUUGAGUAAAUUUACAGAUGUUGCUCCGACGGUAUUCAUUGUAGUUUCAAGGUCUAAUCCACCAUGAGGUUGUCCGCUCACAACUAGAGGUGGCUGACGUUAGGUGGAUGCCUACUGGACUACAGGGUCACAUUACUAGAUGCUAGUACAUUUCUACGCAAGUCUAGUUUAGCCACUCAGUGCUUAUCAAUGGGUUCGUCUCUUUCAUCUUGUAUGAACAAAUGUGGAAUCUCAGUAGCAAAUGCUGCCUAAGAGAGCUACACGAGCAGCAGUGUCAACUCAAUCGAGUGGCUUAGGGAGUCAUAGAGAGAGGUACCUUAGAGGACCUCAUCUAUCCCUUUUCAUGUUUUCAGGAUUUCAUAUGUUUUAGUACUUAUCUUUGAAUGUUGAGUUCCCUUGUUUAGAUGCUUUUUCAUUGUUGUUUAGUACUUAAUUUUGAGUCAUUGAUGCUCUAUUUUUUUACGUUGUCGUUUAUGAUGUUAUGAGGAGUUUCAUGUUUCAGUAUUUAUGCAUUUGUUAUGUAUGUUUAAAUUGAUGAGUGAACCAGCGAGUAAUUGUAUGGGUCGAACCGUGUGAUUUAAUUGGGUCAUCUAGGGGCGGGUUUCAUAGUGAAGAAGACAAAAAAGAAAAAGAAGAAGAAAAAGAAAAAAAAGAAGAAGAAGAAGAAGAAGAAGAAGAGAAGAAAAAGAAGAGGUGGUUGUGAUAUUGUGGUGGUGGAUCCUUACGUGGAUUACUGUGGGCCCACCCUGUUCAGGAGGUUUCAGAUGCGUGUACUAAAUAAACCAAAGGGUCAAGGUUGGGUCGUUCACUGGAUCAACCGAAAUGGUCAGCUUUUAUUUUAUGCUUGGUGAACAGAGAUUAAAGAGCUGGGACAGGCAACCAGAAUUGAGUAAACCGAACAAAUAGGAGCGGGCAUAACCAGAAAGUAGAGAGGUUUUCGAAAUGAAUUUAGGGCAAUAAUAUGAGAUGUGUUGGCGUUGGGCUGUCAAUAGGCAAAAAGAUGGAGGGAGAGAUUCUUUGAAUUAGGGUUUUCACUUUUCAGGCGUUAAUGAGGAAAACAAAACUCACUCUUUAUUCAUGGUGUAGUGUAGUGUACACAGCAGUAGAAUACGGUGUGUUUCCUCUUUUUCUGGGCCUCUCUUUACUUUGAAGUAAAGGCAAGCAUCUAAAAAUGUUUGAGAGAGGUGCUUCUGCCGCGUUUUGACUCGUGGCCGUCAAGCAAAAUACAAUUCCGCCGUUGAUUUGAUGUUGCCAGUUGCCACUUUAAAAAGUGUGCUCGGUGACUCGCUGAUUUCCCUUCUCACGUACCGGUCCUUUUGGUUGCUGUAUUGUCUGCCGCAUUCGUCUUGAUUCUUUGUGCAUCGACGUCGUUGGGUUUAAACAUUAAACAAACAGCCGUCAUAUAUACGAUGAUGAUGAUGAUGAUUCCUUGACUACACUACACUUAAUAGACAGAGAGACAGAGAGACAGACAGACCCCCCUUUUGGUUUUGGGGGCCUCUCAGCUGUCAAUGAAAAAGGCCUCUACUACUGAGUGCAUACUGUUCGGAUACUCCAUCACCUGCUUUAUUUUAACUUAUCUUACCUCUUCAUUAUUUAAUUAAUGCUUUAUUUUCUCAUACCUAACAAAACUUUCUUUUUCCUUUUACACUAUCCAUCUCCAUUUUUGUACCAUUUAAAAUGAAUCUCAAAUUGAAUUGUAAUUUAUCUCUGUAAUUAGAUUACUUUUGAAUUACUAGAGCUAUACUUUGCUCAAAAUAUUAAGUUCCCUUAGUGAUGGGUAUUUGGGUUCAUUCAUGUCAUGUAUGUGCCUCGGAUAUGCUACUUGAUCAUACAUUUUUAAUAUUAUAAAUUAGAUAUGUACAAUUUUCCAACACUCAUUCUCAAAAGAAACCAAUUCAAACAUGCAUAUUUUGCCUGAGGGGAUAUUAUUUUGCACUGAUUUUCAUUUGCCUGUGGGACUCAAAUUGACUGCAAAAAAAAGAUAAUGUUUUCCGCGUUAUUAGUUCACUUGUCCAAACCACAUUUGCAUUUAAUCAGUUUCAUGAAAAGACAAAAAUACCCUUUUAUAACCCCAACCCUAGCAAUUUUAUAAUGCCUACUACUUAUCCACCCUAGCAAUUCUUCCCAGUCUCUGUUUUCUGAAUCUGCACGCUUAUUGGGAAAUAUUCCAUCCAGUUGCUAUUUUUUCAAUUUGAGUGCUUGUUCACUCCACAUCAUUAAAAAAUUUCUUGACAUUGUACAACAUCUAUCUAUAGAACAGAGAUACAACAAAGCAAUGGAAUGAAUACAAUAUGAACCAAAAAGAAUAAAAGAGAGAAACAAAGGUUAAAAGAGAACCAACAACAAAGAUUUUCCCAUCCAAAAUACUCAUGCUUCAAAAUAUUCAGCAGUAGGAUAACAGUUCAAAACACUUAGGGGUUGUUUGUGCAAGUGAUUGUUUUGAGUGAUUUGGGUGAUUUGGUCUCUAAAAUCUUUAAGUUAGAAAUUUUGUCAAAUAGAUUGUUUGGAUCACAAUUAAUUAUGGGAGAAUGUUAGAGAUUUGAAUUCUUGAUGUGGGACUCAAGAGAUUUUGAGCUCAUAUUGAAAUCACUAGGUUAGGAAGGGGAUUUUGGGAGAAUUCAUUCCAUUUCAUUUCAUUUUUGAAUUCUCUAGUCCCAACAAUCACCUAAAAUGACACAACCAAACAUUCUAUUUCUUGAAAUAGCAUGACCCUCAUAUUCUCUAACUAUUUGAAUUCUUUAGCUAUUUGAAUUCUCUUCCUACGAAUUCACCCGCACAAACGACCUCUUAACAAAACAAAUGCCAUGUUUCCCACCCGAAAUAUCCUUCUUCCCAUCUAAAAUGUCAUUAGUUCAACUGAAAUAAGAUAACUGUACUAACAUCUUAGUGAUAGCAUACGGUGAAGCUACAUUUCAUUCUUCUAUGAUACUUUCAAUUCAUCCCUUACAGUCCUCGUCAGAUUCCAUUUGAAGGAAAAAUUCCAUUAGAUUGGGAUUCUUCACCAUCUUAUGUGCGACAUGAAAAGCCUGACGCUUUGCGAAACCUUCUAUCUUACCUAGCUCUUUCCACAUCAGUGACCUUUUGUUAUUAUGCACAACCAAUUCUCCAACUAAUUCUCUCAAUGAGCCGACAACCUCCCUCAACAAUGGGUUCAACUCAUCGUCAUCAUCCUUGUUAGCAUUCUUUGACGUUCGACGAGCCCUCUUCAAAGGCACACUGGUAGCAUCUGACUGGUUACCCUUGCCAGUCGGUGUAGUCGGGGGCACUUCGUCAUCAAGGUUUACAAAGCCUUCAUCUUCGUUUUGUGACUGGCCACCCACAUCAGAAUCAACCCCGUCCUGAUUCUUCUUCUAGCCGAUCAGCAUGUUUUGGGGCAUUUCAAUUAGAGGACAAGGCUUCUUAAGUUCUUCCAAGCCAACAACCUUAGCUCCCGUCGCUCUCACAUUCCGGAAUAUAGAGUCGAGUGCGUCAUACAAAGAGAACGAAACACGAUUCAAUAUUGCACGAUGAGUGUGCUUCUGCACUCCAACAAACAAAUGAAUAUGCAUGUAUAACUGCACUAGUAUUAUUAUUCAUAAAACAAAAUAGGUUUCAUAAAGCUUUCCCGUUGCAUGUAUCCACAGAGAAGUUUUGAUUAUUGAUACAUAAAACGUUAAAAGCAACAAAACAACCAUUUCAUUUAACAAUACCCCUUCUUUAUUAUAGUAAUGUCAGAAAUCUCAUUAUACUCACCUAAGAUAGCACUUCAAAAUCGGAUAGCAUUUCACUUUACAAAAACAGCAACCAAGAUACUCACCGCAACAUAAUCGGCAUAGACAGUAUCGUCAAGCAUCACCAUCUUGUUGAUGUCACACCAACUAGCACAACUCAAUCCUCUUAACUCUUGCACCGCAAGGAACUUGGCCUUAAGCAACUUGCAUUGAGAAAUAAUGUUCGGGGUGGCUGUUACACAAUAACCUGGUUUUUCUUCUUCCAUCAUUCACUCAAUAUCCUUGUGCGCCCCAACAAACUUUCCUUUCUCAUCUAUUUUUCCGAGCUCUGUCAAUGAAAGUAUGCACUUCACGAGGGCCUUAUCUAAAUCGUCAAUCCAAAUGAAAUAUUUCCGCCCUGCAUCGUCAUUUGUCUUUUCCUUUCUUUUUCUUUCCAUCACUAAAAAAAAGUUGGGAAGGUACAUAAGUAAUAACCCGUGCAAAUGAGUGAAAAUGUAAUAUAAAAUCAGUCAAUCACCAUUCAAUGAACUACUACAACUAGUGCAAUUAUAAAACAGUUCACAAGAUACAAUCAUUCAAUCACCAUUCAUAAACGCAAGGAAACAACAUAAUCCAUUGGUUUACAACAUAAAAGCAAGAUACAAGCAUAAACCAAAAGACCCCUAACGUCUAGUUCUACUCUGCCAUAUAUCUUCAGCUAAUUGGUUCCCAAAACGCUAUCCACUCUAGAGAUGGCAGCACUGAUGGUAUGGAAUCAUCCAACUCCUCAUUGUUAUUAGCCGCCAACUAUAAAUUAGAAAAUGACCUUUCUAAUUCGUCAACGUCUACCUCCCUUCUAAUGAAAUUAUGAAUCAAACAACAAACAUGAACUAUUCUUGAUACCACUUCAGGAGAAAAUCAUCAACUGUCACGUAAUAUAGCCCAUCUUAUUUUCAAAACGCCAAAUGCUCUCUCAAUGAUAUUUCUUGCACAUGAAUGUCGCAAGUUGAACAAUUCCUCGCGAGUGUUAGGUCGAUUUGCACCCCAUUCUUUGAGAUGGUAUCUUGUAGCCCUAUAUGGAGUCAAAAAUCCCUCACAGUUACCAUAACUAGCGUCCCCAAGAUAGUAAUGUCCUAGGUAAAACAAUUAUGAGGUGGUUAGUAUGUUAUUUGAAAAUCGUUUAAUUAGGGACUCAUGUAGCGUGCGUUACCUUUCGGCACCUUCAACCCGUAAGGCCUAGAAACAGCAACCUUUAACACCCGACAGUCAUGAGCCAAACCUUCCCAACCCGAAAGACAGUACAUGAACUCCAUAUCAGGGUUUACAGCUGCCAAAACAUUGAUGGAGUUGGCACCCUUCCUACCACGGUAUUUAGGUUGAUUUUAUUUUCUCGCACGAACACCUAUUUACGUCCUAUCUAUUGCUCUAGACAAUACUACACAAGAAAUUGUUUUUUAAUAACUAAUAUAAACGGCGAAUGACACUUUUAGAUUUAACAAAAAAAUAUGAGCUUUAACACACCUUGAAAUGUCUCCAUCGUGGAUGGGGCGUGUUCUUCUUUACGGAAACAGGUUUGACGUAUAAGGUCGCGUGCAUAUUAAGAAUUGGUUGGAGACGGCAUGGACGACGGCAUAAAUAGUUUUAUCCGACCGAGCAAAUUCUUUUUACAGUAUCCUAUUUUUUAUGUUGUGACCCAAAGUGUACAAGAACAUGACAACCAUCUCAUCUACCUCCACGUUCUUUGUUUUAUUGUACUAAUUCAUGACACAACCGGUUAAACACGUGCAUAGACAUUCUAAUAACAUAUAUGCUCGAUCGAUUACUUAAUUUCGUGGCUUUGAACAUAAAUCCUCCUCUGGUUGCUUCGCCAUGUCUCAACCUAUCCAUAAUACUCCUUGAAGGUGUUCGCGGGAGUCGUGGUCGACAAUAUCACCGUCUCCAUAUAAUAAGAAUGAUGAGGAUUAUAGUUAAUGUUAUGGUCAAAAAGAAUGUUCUACGAUGACGAGUUGCUGCCAUUAGUCUAGCCAUUCCUAUUUCGUAUACAUGUUACACACUGAGUUACGUAUUGAAGGAACAUAAUUGUAAGCUAAUGGAUUAUAUGAUGUAAACUAAUGGAAAGUUACUGUGUAGGCAAACACCCCAACUUGUUAACUGGUAUUUUUAUAGAAACAAUAGCAAUACAUAGGAUGUAAGCAAAUACAGAGGAAUCGACAGCCGCCAAACUCGCAAACAAUAACAGAGGACUCGCAGAUAAUAUCGGCAACCCCCAAAAUCGAAAGACAAUAUCGGCAGCCACUGAAAUCGUAGAAUGGUUCGUACAAUAACAGAGGACUCGCGACAAUAUCGAUAGCCACCAAAAUCGGAAGACAAAUAUCAGCAGCCACCGAAAUCGGCGAAUGGUUCGAAAAAUAAUAGAGGACUCACAGACAAUAUCGACAGCCGCCGAAAUUGCAAGACAAAUAUCGGCAGGCCCCAACAUGGGUGAACGGGUUGAACAAUAACAGAGGUCAUUCUUUAGGCGUCGACCGUCAACGUCGGUCGAUGCUUUUAAAAAUACGAAACUCUCCUCUCUUGUCGUCAGCCUCUGGUCCGCCGCCAUCCAGUGAUUCGUCGCCGCUCGCCGCCGUUUCCAUAAGGUCGAGUUUUUAGGGUUGAGAGAUAAUAGAAGAUGAGCACGUAGGUGAAGAUAGGGGAGAUGGAUAAGGGUUAAUUUUGGGAAAACGAAAAAAAAAAAUCAAAACCGCCAGUUUUACAGAAUACCGCACCGUUGGUACGGUGAUUAAAAAAGCAUUACAGAGCUUAUUUGUGGGCCUACGGAUAUUCAAAGUCCGGUGGUAUUACGUCACCAUUUUUAAUCGAAAAACAUGAAUUUAAUUUUUGGUGCCGAAUUUCGCAAAACCCGGCAGCAUUGACAGCACGGAAAACAUGGUUAUAGUAUUUCUUUUUAUCUUGGGUUCAUGCUUUGAGUAGGCUUGGCAAUACGUCCGUGCGGGUCUGGAUUGUUAGCUCUCGAUUUCCGCUCGCCCAUCAAAUCGGGUUUCUUAGUCCCGGUCCCGGAGUCCAAACGGAUGCUAAUUGCAACCCAUCUCUGAACCCGUCGGACUAUUGGUCGCCGUGUAAAACCCAUAUAUGAUUAUUUAAAAAAAACACUGAAUUAUAAACCCACCAGAAUAUGAACUCUGCUGACUGCAGAUCAUCAAAUACAAAAAUUGAACUCAUCUUUCAAUUGUCAAAUGCUACAAUCGAAAGCUCAAAUUUGCUGAGAUCUGUUGGUGUUGCAGUUCAAUAAAACACAAACACUUUAUCCCUCGCGAACAAACCCAAAAUAUUCAAAUUGAAAUAAUGAAAGAAAAAUACAAAAUAUCCAGUCCAACAUCAAAUACUCAUCAGCAUCGCUCAUCAAUCAUCAGUGCAGCAACCAGCAAGAGAAUCCAAGUAGUAGAGGGAAGCUUCAGUCAUCACUAAACCCUAAUCUCAUAGUUCAAUCAAAUUAGUUAGUGAUUUAGUUCUUACUUCUUACCAGGAAUUGAGGAUAGGAGGAGAGUUGGAGUUCCGAAGAGGUUUGAAGAAUUUGAGAGGAUUCUCUCGUUGGAAUUGGAGAGGUCUUUAACAGAUUAGGCUAAAUAUAUUAUAUAUGUCGGGUUUUCGGGUCGGAUAGUAGAUUAUUGAUAUCCUACCGGUCUCCGCUGAAAUCAGAUGGUGGGUUUAUCCGGACUCGGUUAAUAGUCCGAUCAAUUGGAUAAAGUCCGAUCAAACUGGGUGAAGGGACGGACAGAUAAUUGGAAUUCUGGAUUCAAAUGCCAAGGCUAGCGUUGAGGACACAUAUCAUGAUUGUUUUUCAAAAUAAUGGAAAACGUAUAUAAUAUAUUUUGCUGAACUAAUGCCAGACAGCUGUUGUCCCAUUUAUUUAGUAUUUUUUUAGCAGUUUUCUCCUAAUUUGUUUGAUUUAAUAAUGUUUCAUAAUAGUACAUAUAAAAUUGUCAUUUUCUUACUAGUUUUACGCGUUAUUCUUCAGAAGCACAGGGUGAUCUGAUCGGAAGAAUAAAUGGAUACUCGUAAUUGAUUGAUGAAGAAAGGCAAAAAUGUUUUACUAGCUAUAAUGGUUAUGUUCAUGAGGUAAAGCUACCGUACGUACAUGUUUUAAUUUCAUUAAGAUGAAUUUCCACAUGAGACUACUAUACUGUGCAGGGCAUGCUGAUUUUUUUUUUUAUCUUUAACGAAUUCGACCAAAUUAAGGGAACAAUAUAUAUUAUUAGUCAACGGUCAUAUGUAAGCAUUAAAAGAAAAAAGAAAAGAAAGAAGGUAACAAAUUAAAUGGGUAUAGAGUUGAUGAGUAGUUAUUCUUAUUUCAGAUUAACUGUUUCAUAAAGGUAAACACAAUGCAUCCACAAAUUUACCUGCUCCUAUGUAUAGCUAUACAAUCCGACGCGCGCCAUUAAAAAUAAAUAACCCAAAAAACAAAAACAAAACGGUAAAAUUAAAAACAUGUUGGUAAUUAUUGUUUUUUUUCCAAAAAUGGACAGAGACAAAGUAACAAUUUCAAAAUUCAAAUUCAAUACGUGUGUGUGCACAAACAGUAGUACUAGUAACUCUGUAUAUUAUCUUGAUAUCUACAAUCUCUUAAUUACCUACUGCAGUUCCCCCCAAACUCGACUUCGAUCAGGAAUCCAAAGCCAAUGGAGUCUGCAAGAGAUCGUAGGGAGCCCAUAGGGCAUCCAAAGGACACGGUCGAUUGGCGUCCAGGCGAGCCCACGGUUUCCCUUUCCCACUCCAAUGCAACAGACUCACCGGACCUGGAUGCAGAUUCCGGCACAGUCCUCUGAAAUUGUCCCCUCCUAAACCGUGCUGAUUCCACCGGUGAUCCACGGGCACUAUAUUCCCGGCGAACACUAGCAAAAAGGGCGGCAAGGAUCCCAACUCGUAGAUCCUCAUCCUCUUCUGCACCUCCAUCCACUCCUCGAUCUUAGUAGUAUAAUCCCCUUGUCUCCAUCUGUCAAGGUCAAUCACCAUAACCCCGGUAUUGAAAUAACAGGCCUUCCUGUCGGCGAAGGUCAACGAAAGAGACGGAUUGGACCAGAAGGUCGGAGUGAAGUAGAAGGUGAAAUUGGCAUUGCAGUACUGCGGAGCGGCGAGCACGGCGGUGUCGCCGAGCGGAGUUCUGGCGAGUUUGGCGAUGUCGUCGACGAGGACGAGGUCGGAAUCGAGGUAGACAAUUCGUCGAACACAAGGCGGGAGUACGUUGGCCAAGUAGCUUCUGGCGUAGUUGAGAGGGCAGUCGAGGGCGGAUCGGAUUGAGGUGGAGAUGAGUCGGGAGACGGAGGAGUCGUCGAAGGUGUAGACUCGGAAAUUGAGGUAAGGGAAUGAAGAAGAGAUGGUGGAGCGUAGAGCAGAGGAGGCGUUUGCUGAUUCUGAUGCUACGAAAUGGAAAGCUAUGUUCUGCGGGCAGGAGGAGUGCUGGAGAACAGAGAGAAUUGCGGCCAUGGAUCCGCGGAGGUAGGCGGUGUCUAAGGUCAUAGCCACGUGGACGGCGCGAUCUGAACAGAAGAUGGCGUCAUGGUCAGCGGCGGAGGGGCAGUCAGGGGAAUUGUAAAACUGGGGAGCUUCUUUGAAAGUGAGGGAUCCAUUGGAAGUCAAAGGUAGAAGAAGAAUGAAAAUGAAAAUGAAAGAACAGAGAAAUGCAGGCAUAACAGCAAGGAAGAGUUGGGGUUGUGAAUCAAUCAAAUGAAUGUUCGUCAAAAUUAGGAAGGUUGUGGGGGGGCUUUUAUUUGGCUGUCUAGCUGGCUGGCUGGCUGGCUGUCAGAAUCAAUAACAAUAAUAAUGUUAUAAUCUUAUUAACAAUCACCCAAAUGGAAUUGAUUAUUAAUACCAUUUUUUUAUAAAUAAAUAUUAUGAAAAUUCUAAAUAAUGGAUUGUAAUUUGUAAAAACGGACAACAUGAAGUAAAAUCGGAUUAUACGAAGUAAAAAUGGACGGUGUUAGUAGAAACGGACUGCAUAGAGUAAUUUUUUAAUUAAAGGUAUUUUAGUCUAUUUACGGACUGCACGAAGUAUAAGACAGAAUGUAAUAGCAUUGGACUAAUAAUAAUGUUAUAAUUCUAUUAGCAAUCAACCAAACCGAGUUGAUUAUUAAAUUGUUAAUUACCUUCUCCACCCGGCUUAUGCGAUGUUCUGUGGGCAGGAGUAGUGCUGGAGAACUGAGAGGAUAGCGGCCAUGGAGCCGCGGAGGUAGGCGGUGUCUAAGGUCAUCGCCACAGGGACUGCGCGAUCUGAACAGAAGAUGGCGUCAUGGUCAGCGGCGGAGGGGCAGUCAGGGGAAUUGUAAAACUGGGGAGCUUCUUUGAAAGUGAGGGAUCCAUUGGAAGUCAAAGGUAGAAGAAGAAUGAAAAUGAAAAUGAAAGAACAGAGAAAUGCAGGCAUAACAGCAAGGAAGAGUUGGGGUUGUGAAUCAAUCAAAUGAAUGUUCGUCAAAAUUAGGAAGGUUGUGGGGGGGCUUUUAUUUGGCUGUCUAGCUGGCUGGCUGGCUGGCUGUCAGAAUCAAUAACAAUAAUAAUGUUAUAAUCUUAUUAACAAUCACCCAAAUGGAAUUGAU